UUUUGACACGGUGAAUCACCUGACUAGCGAGAUACCACCGGCGGCCUCAGAUGGCAAUGACAACGACGAACUCAUUUCAAGACGACACAGCAGGAGAUGCAAGAAACAGAAGCUCAUGUCCGUGGUUUUGCAGAAUGGGGAGAUGCAAGACAAGAAACAGAAGCUGAUGCCCGUGGUUUUGCAUAGUGGGGGAGAUGUCAAAAUCAAUCAACGGUGGUAGUGGUGGUGGCCGAAUUCGUUUUUUUUUUUUUUUUUUUUUCUUGCUAUGUUUUCAGUCUCGCCUCCAACCGAACUCCGGUAUUGAUUUUUGAACAAUUUUGAUUAUUGUUUAUCUAUGAACAAAGUUGGGUUACCCUGUGAAAAACUUUAUUAUAGUUAGGUUUAUCUGUCUCGAUUUCUGCAACCAAUUUCUAGGGUUCUUAGUUUGAAUUUGGGAUUUCUGAAUAUUUGUUGAAAUUAUAUGUUAUUGCUAUCAUCAUCAUGAGUAAAAAACUUUUUUUAUAUGGAUUUUGUUGUUUUACAAAAUCUAAAUAAAUCUUGCCUUAUGAAUUUUGUUUUAUACAGCAUAAGCUUGCAAGUAAUUGGUUGAAUAGCCCCACAUAGCAUUGUAUGAAUUAAAUGUACCCAUUAAUUCAUGAGUUUUUUGUUUCUUUUUAUUCCUAAUGCAGAUGUGUUAAUCUUUCAUACCUGAUCAUAUACACGUAAUUGUAUAAUUAAUUAAUCAUUACAUUUUUCUAUGAUUUUAAAAAUUAUACUAAUAAUCUGUUGGAUUGUUGUCUUUUAGGUUGCAUGCUGGUUGUCGAUUUUUGUGAUAACAUCGCCUGUUGCUUUAAUCUGAAGGCUUGAAGGCUGCUGCUGGUGGGUUGCUAGGAUUUAUGAAUUAUGACAGCUGGACUUAUUCACGUAUUCUCACAAGCUGGUACCUCUUGACUGACCUCUGCUGGUAAAUCAUGAAAAGGUUCCCAACAGCGCCAAUGAGGUUCCAAAAACGCUGAGAACUCCAGCAGGGGAGGCAUACUGUUUUCGGUGACCUUUCGACGUCAUCAGAAACAAUGGGGAUGAGGCGCCGACGAACAAGCCAUCAAAUUUGUUUCAGCCAUCAAUGUGGACUAGAACACUGUUAAACACAAACGCAAGCUCGAUUAGGGAGAUGCUGACGCAUGUUGAAAGUCCCGGCUCUACAAAAAGAGGUGCUUUUGAAUGAAUUGUUAGCUUUGCAGUUAAAAAUGACUUUAAAAUUUCACAUUUUAGUGUAGAUGGUCUGAUUCCUAGUUUUAAGCCCAAAAUCUUGCAUCAUAAGUUUACAAACGUUUGUUGAAUUAAGGCCAUCAAAUUUUAUACAAUAUUUUGAUUUCGACUU
RNAcentral lists this long non-coding RNA (1360 nucleotides) under Helianthus annuus (common sunflower). RNAcentral's name for it is "hypothetical non coding rna". Lineage: Eukaryota; Viridiplantae; Streptophyta; Magnoliopsida; Asterales; Asteraceae. The record is from RNAcentral.